AACCAUGAUUAGAGCCUCCUAAUUUUGGGUUCUACAGUAGCACAUAUGAAGGAAAAUUAGGUAUCCUCCAUAUAUUUUAUAUGAGCCCGGCUAAGAUUUUUAUCAACUUUUGUCCUUUGAGAAGUUAUAUUUCCAAAAAAAGAAAGAAAAUCACAAUUCGUUCACUUGUGACAUUUGGUACCCUACCAAAUUGUCUUUGUUAGAUGACAUAAUUAUUCAUAUUGCGUCCUUUUGUCUCUCCUAAAUCUGUUAUUUAUUCAAAAUUGAAGCUAAUGAAGUAGGUUUGGGAUGACUAAUGCACGCAUAGACAAAAUUAUACAAUCUAGAAUCGUGAGGAGUUUUACAAUGUUCCUUUUUCCCCAUGGUAUCUCUAUCGAAGUUUUAUAUAUUAUGAUAAGAGCAAUAGAUAUCCUGGUUGUCAAUUUUGUGCGUGUUAUCCAUAUUUGUAGGCAGGGGGAUGAAGGGAAAAAAAGGAGCGUGAUUAAUAUAGAAACUUCGAGUAAGAAAAUAAGAGUAGUAGGAAUAAUGCAUCAGAACAUUUGAAACUGAAUUCUUACUUAUUCUCUAGGGCUGUGGGCCAGGAUUAACUUCAUCAUGCAUUUAUUCUAUCAUGAAAGUAUAACAAUACUUCGUCUUUUUCGUUCUGUUAGAUGGAAAUAUUAUUCAAAAUGAAUGAUAUACAGAGAUAAUAUGUUCUGAAGUUGUCUAGUCUAUGAGAAAAUAAUGCAUGCAACUAAUACAGCCAGCCAGUGAAUAGAUUUUGAGUUACACAUUAAUCUCUGCAGAAACCAACAAGGGAGAUGGAUUGAUCAGAAUCAAAAUUUUCAAGAUAUUGCUAUUUGAUACGAUGAAAACAUGACAGUGACUUUUCUGUCGCUUGAAUUAUACACUGAUUAGAGAUGGAGUCAUGAUGAUGCAAUCUCUGGUAAACAUAAGGUGACAUACUUGUUUGAGCUACUUGUGGAAGUAUUUAAACAUGUGAAAGACAAGGAUAUAAAUUAAUCACCAAACUUGCAAUGGCUUCAAAUAAUCUGUAUUACUUUUUCAAGGGUGGUGGUGGUUUUAUCUUUUCCUGACUGAGACGAUACUAUAUUCUUUCAUUUACUCUGUGUGAUUUUGAUACGUGCAAUUAUGAUUCAUUCAGCACUCUUAGGAUAGGAAGAGCAAAAGCUUGUUAUUUGAGUGCAUAUCUAUGAAAUGUAAAAUGGUUUAUUUAUUAAUACUUAUCAGUACUGAAGUUAUACACAGUAAUUACGUGAGUUGGGGAUAUUAACUAUGUGUUGAUUUUAUAUUUGCAUUUUGUGCUGCCUUGUUUUCUAGAUAGACAAUCCUAUCGUGUUUCUGCACGCCAGAAAAUAGAAAGCUGAAAAGAUGUGUUACAUACACGCCGAUUGUUUAAAGAAAUCAUCAUAUACCAUACAUUCUAAAGGUUUGCAGCAUUAGAUUGUUGGAACUCUCUUUAGUGCAAAUUGCUCUUUGUUUUUGUUCUCUGAUGGAAAUAAUCAUUUUAAAGAAAAAAUUCCAAUAACUUUGUGUCUCUUGNNN
RNAcentral lists this long non-coding RNA (1545 nucleotides) under Olea europaea (common olive). Its description in RNAcentral is "long non-coding RNA (OEUR_LNC008177)". Lineage: Eukaryota; Viridiplantae; Streptophyta; Magnoliopsida; Lamiales; Oleaceae. The record is from RNAcentral.